RNAcentral lists this ribosomal RNA (483 nucleotides) under Shewanella sp. P23ox-fac. Its description in RNAcentral is "bacterial SSU rRNA". It matches the Rfam family "Bacterial small subunit ribosomal RNA", at positions 264 to 741 of the family's 1533-position model. The record is from RNAcentral. Lineage: Bacteria; Pseudomonadati; Pseudomonadota; Gammaproteobacteria; Alteromonadales; Shewanellaceae.
CUCACCAAGGCUACGAUCCCUAGCUGUUCUGAGAGGAUGAUCAGCCACACUGGGACUGAGACACGGCCCAGACUCUACKKGAGGCAGCAGUGKKGAAUAUUGCACAAUGGKGGAAACCCUGAUGCAGCCAUGCCGCGUGUGUGAAGAAKGCUUCGKGUUGUAAAGCACUUUCAGUAGGGAGGAAAGGUGAUGUGUUAAUAGCACAUUGCUGUGACGUUACCUACAGAAGAAGGACCGGCUAACUCCGUGCCAGCAGCCGCGGUAAUACGGAGGGUCCGAGCGUUAAUCGGAAUUACUGGGCGUAAAGCGUGCGCAGGCGGUUUGUUAAGCCAGAUGUGAAAUCCCCGGGCUCAACCUGGGAAUUGCAUUUGGAACUGGCGAACUAGAGUCUUGUAGAGGGGGGUAGAAUUCCAGGUGUAGCGGUGAAAUGCGUAGAUAUCUGGAGGAAUACCGGUGGCGAAGGCGGCCCCCUGGACAAAGACU